Molecule: RNA transcript, 3585 nt
Organism: Gossypium raimondii (Peruvian cotton)
Lineage: Eukaryota; Viridiplantae; Streptophyta; Magnoliopsida; Malvales; Malvaceae
Exons: 8
Source: RefSeq, a predicted model, not a curated record
UAUGGGUUAAGGAUUUAAUUUCAUGAUGAAUUUGUGUGGGUGGGAUCGGGAUUUACUGGAAGUAUUCCUGGGGAAUUUUGCGCUGCUCAUUUAGUUGUUAAUUGUUUCUGUUUCAUUUGUUCUUUGCUCACUCAACCCCAAGGAGAAAAGAACAAAAUCCCUAAACAUAAGCGUUUCUCCUCAGCCGUCUACAUAGCUAAAACCCCUUUCUUUUCUGUUCCCAUUUAAACCCUAAAUUCCUAACAGCAAAAUCUAAGCAACAAAGCAAUGGCAGAGGGGGCAGGAGAAGAAAAGAAGAAAUUUUCAAUCUGGGAUUUGCCAGAUGUGCCAAUGGGUCAACUUCCACCGCAUCUUGAACUCCAACGAAGUCGUGUUUCAUGCAAUAAGGACGCCCCUAUCCAUACUGAGAGUAUUCAAUAUUCUGGCGCUUAUGCAUCGAUGGGAAUUGAUAAUAGUUCACGACUUGAUCGAUUCUCUAACAACUUUAGAGUUGAAGUGGUUCGACUCAAUGAAGAUGACAUGGAGUUUGAUAUGAUCGUUAUUGAUGCAGCUAUAGCCAAUUCAUUCAGGAGGAUCCUUAUAGCUGAGGUCUGUAACUUUUUGGUCUACCUCUUUUCAGUGCUAACAUAUGCUAUGUUAAUGACAUUAUUGCAUGCUAUCAUAUGCUAGCUAUGUUAGCUUGCAGCAUAAUGUCUGUGCUGGUACUGAUAGAACUGAUUAUACUUGCUGCUUCCUACAAUGGCAAUUGAAAAAGUUCUCAUUGCAAACAAAACAUCAAUAAUCCAAGAUGAAGUUCUUGCUCAUAGGUUGGGCCUCGUUCCAAUCCGUGUUGACCCAAGGCUUUUUGAUUAUCUUUCAGAAAAUGAUCAGCCAAAUGAAAAGAACACCAUUGUUUCCAAACUCCAUGUUCAGUGUAAAAGAGGUAGUCCACGUAUUACAGGUGACAAAAAUAUCUAGUGUAUGAACAUGCGGUAGAAGACAUAAUGUGGAAUAACAACAUCCAAGAGCAAAAUCAGAACACAGAGGCUGUGACUGUUGAACAUGAUGCUUCUUCAAUUAUUAAAUCUUCUAGGCUUGUCGCAUCAAUGACAACGGCGGAUGCAUUAGAGGAACUUCAGAGUUACAAAGAGAUGAAAAACUUGUUGCUUAGUGAAGGUGGUAAGUCUUGCAUAUCUUCCAAUUUAACCUCUGGGGCUAAACAUUCUGGCAAAGGUACAUGAGAAUGAUCAACUUAUUUGAUAUUGGUAUAGUUGCACAUAUGUACUGGUUUGAAAGACUACUACUACAUGCUAUAUAGCUGAAGCCAUUUUCCUCUUUUUGUGAUCAUAGGAGUAUAUAUAUACAAUAUAUGUGUUUUUGGUUAAGAUUUAUGUUAACAACAGAAGGGUUAUCUGUUGGCCCCGAACUUUGUAAAAAGCAUUUUUGUCUCUGAUCCUACAUAACAUAAUUGCACAUAAUUUUAGAUGUUGGGUAAGGGUUGCGCAUGCUUUGAUAUACAGGCUUGCUGAUGCUGUCAUUUCUGUUAUUUUGCUUUUCUCCUUUGUUUCCCCUCCCACAUAUAUAUUUACCUAUUUUAGAAGGGUUUUUUGUAAAAGUUAUAUUUGAAGUAUGAUAACCUGAUAUAUUUGGAAGAUUAUAAUUCUAUAGGCAUAGUAAUUUAUUUGACCCUCCAAUAACAUUUUAGCUUUCAAUUAGACUUUUUAUACCCGAGUAUGCUGUAAGCCUCCAAUUCUUACUUGGUUAUCUGACUAGAAAUUAAGACUAGAGAAUCGGGUGUCUUAGAUUUAAUUUGACUAAUGCAUUCUGUUCCUUGUUCUAAUGUGCAGGGGUGAUUUGAUCCCUCUUGUAGUUAAGUCCUUGAAGAAUCCUAGGUAUUGUAAAGAUACUCACUGAACAUUUAUAAUUUACAAUUAUGGUGGGGGAUUUUUACUGCAAACAAAGGGUCAAAAUUUAAAGAAGAUUGCAUGAAAACCAUAUGGCAACGAGUGGACUGUGAGAGAUCCUAUAAAAGUGUGAGAGACGGAUUCGUUUUUGUGAUAAGGCAAUAAAGAGAGUAGGUCCAAAGCCAGAAAAAGAAAAAAAAAUGAUGAGUAAUUAUUUCACCUAUAUACUCAACUCAUUAAUGAUUAUUUUGAUGUAUAAUAUUUUAUAACUUUUUUUUUCCUUAUUUUAUCUGGAAGGAAGUCCAUUUUUUUUCCAGUCUUAAUCAGGGUCCAUGGCCCCUUGGUUAAAUGGGAAAUUUUCAUUUUUAGUCUCUCCUAAAUAUUAAUAUUGUAAAUUUAAGCCUUUUACCCCUUGGAUAAAUGGAAAAAUUAUAUUUUUGGCUGCUCCUAAAAUUUUUUAGCUUUAGCUCCCUCAUACAAAGUUCAUGGCUUCGUCCCUGUUCUGCAGAAUACUGUACAUGGAGUUUGUCUGAAAAUAGAACAGCAUAAUUAGGAAGUCAUUAUAUGCUUAAUGUGCUAGUAAUUUGUUGGUAAGUAGAUGAAGUUUCUGUUUAUUUGAACUUUGAUUUUACUUUAUGCUAAAUGUUGGUAGGGCAUAUACUAGUUGAUGUACAGGCUCGUGACUGGUAGCAUGCCCGCAUUUGUCUACAUGUAUUAUGUGCCUGUCAAUUAUUAUACAUGGUUUAAUCAAGCUCAUAACUAGUUGAUGUAAAAAAUUCAUUUGAUUAUGCUGUGCUGGGUGGAUCUUCUAAAAUUGCUGCCAUUCUUGUUACAUAUCCAUUUCAGGUAUGCAUCCUUUAUAAUUGGUGUGAAGUCUUUGUAUAACCUCAUUUUUUCUUCGUUGGCUGGUCAUGAUGCCUUAUGAGGUGUGCAGAAAUUUUUUUUCAAGUUAUUCGAACUCGAUCACAGUUGUCGCUAAUAAAAGAAGUUGGAACUAGUUUAUCCAUCUACUAGCACGUUUAAAGAAUUAGAGCUAUUGCAUGUCUUGUUCCUAUUGGACUCUGCAUCUGGAACCCAUGUGAGAGCUACAAAAUGAUAAAAGUGUUGAUGGUGGAUUUGACAACAAUGAACUAGAAUAUGAAGAAACUCACAAAAUAGUCAUUUUGCCUAGCUGCUUGAAAUCUUCCUUUUCCAUCUGUGGAGUUGCCUGAGAAGGUAAGGUUGGCAGUUGAUGCUAUUUUAAUGGCUGAGGGUGCUGAACAGAAAGGGCAUAUGGGUAUUAAGGGUUUAACGAAGCUUCUAGCAGACAAUGCGCCAAAGGCCAUGAAGGAACAAAAAUUAGAGAGCUAUUUUGGCCGCAAGAUUGCCAUGUAGUUACUCAAAGAAGGCAGAUGCUACUGAGGAUUUGCAAGAAGCCAUGGAGGUAUUUUUCUUUGGUCAAACAUGGAGUGAUAAGUAAAGUUUUCUUUUGUUGUUUCACCACUACGAGGUGCUGUUGUUUUUAUUAUUAGACUGGAAAUAAGGAGGACAUUGAAAUAAGGUAGCCAAAAUUUUGUCACCGGUCAGUAAUAGAUACUUGUAGAGUUCAAUCAAUUCAACGCCGCAAGAAAACGGAAGCGUAUGUAUAAUAACUGUAUUUGUAGUACUGAUUUUUGUUAUAUAAUAAUGAAAGGAAUAUAUGUUCUUUUCCCGUAUAAUGAAA